Molecule: long non-coding RNA, 707 nt
Organism: Cucurbita maxima (winter squash)
Lineage: Eukaryota; Viridiplantae; Streptophyta; Magnoliopsida; Cucurbitales; Cucurbitaceae
Exons: 3
Source: RefSeq, a predicted model, not a curated record
CCGACGGAUAAGAAAGGCAACGCCAUUUCUUUCACUAUCAUUGUCCACCGUACAACAAGAUUGACUGCAACAAACUUUCAAUCUGAUUGGCAAAGCAUUUAAUCCAAUUGGGUCACUCUCAAAUCCGUAACAGAUCUCUGAAAUUUGUGAUGCCGAUGGUAUACCUAACUCAUAAUCCUUCUCUGUCGUUACUUUCAAAUCCGAGUCUGCGAUGCAGUUUACUUUGGGAAUUGAAGACGUGGUACGGUGGGAGAAAUGGAACAAUCAAAGAUAUGGUUGUUAGAAGGUCAUUAUCAUCUGGUAUGAACUUCUGAAGAAUGGUGGAAGCUUGUUUGUUCUUUCAUAAAAAUGGAAAAUGGAUGUGAUAUAUGAAGCUUCAGCAAUUAUGAGUGAAGCUCAAGAACAGGUGGGUGGUUGUUGGAUGCACACUCGUGGGCUUGAGGCUGCAAGAGUUCGUGGGCUGGGUCGAGGUUGGUCGGCUAAUGGGUUGUGGUGUUUGCUGAAGGUUGGGUCUAGAGUUUGAAGACCUGAUCCAAUACGACUUGCAACUUCUUCUUCCUUACCCGAGGUUUUGCAGAUAUGAUAUCCUCUGCGUAGACGAUCUUCCACAGACAUAGACAUGUUUCCACAUCACAUAUAGGCCAGAAUUUUCAUUAAUAGAAGUAAAAUUAGAGAAAUACAGACUAAAUAAACAAAGAGCAGACAAU